UCUUCACCUGUGCCCACCAGCGGCAAUUUGGUACAACCAAAACCAGGGUUCAGAUGUGACCUCCAACAUCAACCACAGUGAGUGCUAUUCUCAUUCCCCUGGGGACAGGCAGCCCCCUCUUGACCCCAACAACUCGGAUCCCAGGAUCCUGCCCUAAUCCCUGUGCCCAGAGCGCCUCCUCCUGCUUCUUCCCAGGUCCCCAACCUAUUCCCAGGGUGCUCUGAAGGAGGCCUGCCCUCAGGUCACAGGAGAGAGUCCAACCCCUGAGAGAAAGCCUGGCCCAGGAGGGGCGCUCAUCUUGCCUAGCCCCGCUGAGUGCUGUCACCUUUUACCAGGCAGAGACUGAGUUUCCCAUCCUCGCAAACUCCUCUGCCUGCCCACAAGCAGCCAGGUGUCUGGACUUCUCCAAGGCUGAGGGCAGGCACACAUUUUGUCCCUGCGUGCCCUGACCUGCUGACCUUUCACCGCCUCCCUGACCACGAACAUUCCCGAACUGCCCUCCUGACUGAGCCUGGAUGAACAAACAGCCCUGACUCACUGAGACACUGGGCCACCUGGUGGAGGCUCUGUCAGUUUAACUGAUUCUGUCUCCAAGGGCCCAACUGCCAGAUGAUCCUGAUUGGCCGAGCAGCGUGGCCCACCUGACCUACUGAUGACCAACCUACUGGUCACCAGCUGCCUGUCAGAUGGACAGACAGACUCUCAGAAUUUGGGGGGAUCAGACAGGAGAGAGAGGAGGCUGGAAGGGAUUGCCUGGGGGCUCACCCACAAGCUCAGCUGCUCUCUGGACUCAAGGCCCUGUCAGGCUCUGCAGGGCUCCACAGUGCUCAGAUCAGAGCCGACCCUGCAGGGUUUCUCCACGUGAGGCCCCGCAAGCCCACAAAGUCCCUGCAAAUAUAUUCACCCUUGUGUGAGGAGAGGAUGCAUGCUAAUUAUCUAACUCUCAAAGAUGACCAUUUUAGACCUCAAAGAAGUCAGGAGCCAUGUCUCCAAGGAGACCCUUCAGGAAGGAAUAGACUGACUUGGACAUCUGAGCACUGUGGCCCACUUUAGCUUCUCAGAGAACACCAAGUCUCCAGCAAACUCUGCAUUUGCAUCUGGAACCCAAGUGAAAGGCCAAGCUGCUUGGGUGACAGGGAGAGGGUGGCAUGGCUGCCAGCAGGUCCCCAAGACCGAGAGGACACAGGGUUUGCUUAAAGACCCCUCAGCUGGCAGGUGGCAGAUUCAGGUAAAGCCCAAGAGGCCUGGGACCCACACCCCUGUUCCAUGGCUGGUCUCCUUCCCUCAAGUGUCCAGCUGGCCUCAAGUUCACUCUCUCUGGGUGAGGUCCGUGGCCAGCUUCCUCACUCGCUCGAGUAGCAGAAAGGCUGAAAACUGCAGGGGGACACUGAGGGCAGGAGAGCAGCUCCUACCUGCAGGGGUGGUACCCAGGCAGGCACAUGGGGCUCCUGCAGGAACCGCAGUCUGAGGCCUUGUCACAGAAACCAGUGUGGGAAGGAAACAUUUGUUUAUGGAUCUAUGCCAAGAUACCUUUCAUCACGCCACUCUCCUGGUCCCUAACCCUCAAUGGCUCCCCUCUGCCCUAAGAAAAACCAUCUUUAGGCCUCGUAAAAGACAAAUAUACCUCAACCCUCCAAUCCAGGUAAGAUAAGCCAAGAGCCCUCCUUCAAACAUGCCCCAAGCACUCCUGUCUUUGCUCCCAGCUUCCUCCUGUCAUUCUUGUCAGGAAGUUAUUGUCAUUGCCAUUGGAGUUCCAUUCCCUCCUUUCUCCAGCUUCUAACCGCUACCUGCCACCAUGGCCCCAGAGUGAACUCUUUGUUCCCUCCUCUGAAUUCUCCGGGAGUCACCCUCUCUGUAGGUCCCAUUCGACCCAUAGGAAAGGCCCCUUUUUGUCUCCCUUCCAGGACUUUACAAUCAGGCUUCGUUAGAUUUUUCUAAUUCCCCGCUGCUCCUGUUCAGGAACCGUUUUCCCGUUAUUGAUUCAGACAGUGCCCAAACUGUACACAGGCCAAUGCAGGUUUCAGGAAUCCAGCUGGUCAAUGCAGGGUGGAGGGCACGAGGGGUGGGCGCCCGAGGAACCGUAGGAGACGUGGCACGGGGAGAGAGGGGAGGUCUGUUGGAAGACGCCCAGGGACUGGUCCGGCUCUCUCCUGGAAAGUGGGCACUUUGGGUAGCGGUGAUUCGGAGAGGUAUUGGGACCGUGGUGAGUAAGGAGGGAGGGAAACAGAGAAAGGCCACAGGAGAAGGUGAAACAGGGAGAGAUUGGCCACGCCCCGUCCCUCCCUGCCCUCGCCCCUCCCCCAUUCAGAAAUCCCGCUUCUCCUUGAGAACUCAGACACCAGUUUCCCCAGAAAGGCCUCCUGCAUCUCUGUGGCUGCCACUCGCUCCUGUUUUGGCUGUGUCCCCUAGCCCUUUGCUCGCUUUCGUCCAGUCUUGGCCCCUCUGGCUCUGAUUCUGCUCAGCUGCUUGCGUGCCUGUCUCAAGCCCGAUGAAACUUACAUUCCUCAGGGGCGUGAACCGUGCCUUGUUGUCUUGAGUUCCCUCAGCUCCAGUCUCAGUGUGACUCAUACAGAGAAACAAUAUUGGCCGGGAGUCAGUUAUUCCAGGGAUGCAGUAAGAAGUAAAUAUGUGUUGUACAGAGUGGACACCAGAGCGCAUUAACUGGGGAGGAGCAAGUCCCAAGAGGAACAGUGAAAACAAGACUCUGGCUCCAACCACUUAGCAUCUCACACAGUGAAGGAGAAUGGUUGCCAUCCAGUUGGCCACCAGAGGGCGCUCUGGGCAAAAAGAUCUUGAGGCCGUUCUUCAGCUCUUCGACUUGAUCGCCUCGCAAACUCUGGAGUCAGUGCUGUUUCCCAGAGACAGCAGACGUAAGUGCCAUGCAGCUUGCCAGGCUCUCAGGGCAUGGGCGUUUACAGUCGGCUGGCAUUUCCCAUGGGGGAGCAGAGGCAAGAAAAUCGCCCAGUUGAUGGCCAGUUGUUUGUGGGAUGAAGGGUAAGACUGGAUAAGGCCUUGAGGUUAGGGCAAAGGUAUCAUGAGUCCUGAGCUGGUCUCUGCUUUCCUGACUUCUGGAAGUGUGACAUUAAGAAAAUCAUUCCUUCUCUGGGCCUGGUUUCCCUCUGUAAAAUGCUGGGCUCAAGUUCCAGCCUGUCCUGGGACGUCAUCAGCUCUUCCAACCCUUCUGGGCGGUGGCCAUGAAAUUUAGUCCACAUGGAAGCUUAGUUCCCUGCUUUCUGCCUCUGGGAGAGAACUGCAGUCAUGGAGACCGGUGCUUGCCACAGUAGGAGCUGCUAACGUCCUGGAUGGUCCCCAUACUCUUCCUGAGCUGCCCCAGGCACAACCAGAGGAGGAGACAUUCGCAAAAGCCAGCGCAGCCUGGGCCAUCAUUCAGAAGUAAGCCUAAAAUGGGUUUAUGCAGAAGGAAACUAUUCAUGCCAGUUCUUCCAAAACACAAAGAUGAUGGUAUAGGAUGUAUGACUCAUUCUUGUGUAUAAUGGUAGAGCAACAUGCAGUGGAAUGAUGCACCAUUCGGGAUGGGGCAGGCUUGGGAGGGAGACAAGGAAGGGUGAGGAGGGAGAGAAUGAGCUCUCUGUAACAUUAUAUUUCAUAAGAGAGAGACAGAUGGAUAGACUUCAAGCAUCUAUGGCAAAGUAUCAACUCCGAUAAAUCUGGUUGGUUCUUAAAUUGUUUUCUGUAAUCCUCUCUAUGUUUGACCCUUUCUUUUAAUUAAAAAGAAAAAAUGAUUUAAAUAAUUUUUAAAAAUAACAGAGAGGGGCCAGCCCCGUGGCCGACUGGUUAAGUUCACUUGCUCUGCUUCGGCGGCCCAGGGUUUCACCAGUUCGAAUCCUGGGCGCAGACAUGGCACCACUCAUCAGGCCAUGCUGAGGCAGCAUCCCACAUGCCACAACUAGAAGGACCCACAACUAAAAAUACACAACUAUGUAUGGGGGGCUUUGGGAGAAAAAGGAAAAAUAAAAUCUUAAAAAAAUAAUAAAAUAAAAUAACAGAGAGCCCACCAGUCCCUCAAUGCACAUCUGUGUCUGGGGUAGUUUUUUUUCCUAGCAUGACUUUCAUAGAUGAAGAAGUGUGUUCAUAAAGUGUCUUAGGUUUUCCAGGCCCAGGUGGGAUGGGAUAAUCCUAAAGGAGGGAGACACGCUGUUGGGGAGGGAGCAGCCCCCCCCCCCCAGAUCUAAGCAGUCUUCAGUACCUCAGAUCUGUGGGGCUUUGUCUUCAUCAUCUGUAAAAUGGGGAUGAAGCUUGCGCUAUCUACUUUACAAAGUUAUAACCUGCACUAAAUGAGCUCUUGAUGAAAACAGCUUGAAAAUAACGAAACAAGCAGGCAAACAAUGGUUAUUCAUCAAGCGAUGCAUCCCAGGGUCACUUACUGGUAACAUUAGCAUCAACAACAACCAAGGAAGAAAUAAAGGGAGGAUGAUAAAGGAGUGUGGCAGGAAGGAAGAAUGAAGAAGAAAAACUUACUGGUGAGUGCUAAGCCCUCCAAGGAACUAGCUGCUCUUCCUAGAUCCCAACUUGAGGCCUGUCUUUCAAAAUAAUAGAAAUUAUACCUUGGAACAAUGAUCCUGGUGGUUGUUGUCGUGAGAAUUUCAAACAAUAUUUACAUAUCUUACCACAAUGAGUCAACAGUUAUUUCCUAUGAAAGCCACAGGGCUUCAAUUUUCAGAGUUUAAAUAAAGAGCAUAGAGACACCACCAAAGAAACACUUAGUAAAUGUCAAUAUAGAAUAAACUGGAAGAAAAAGAGAAAAACAGCAAGCUGCUCACUGCCUUGUUUCCAACCGAGACGCUGUUCUGCAGAUCCUGGGGGACUGACAAGGACUGAUGGUUUCUUGAGGCUCUGUUUAAACCCAGUAGGUUGCAGACUUCCUGGGGCAGAAACAAGUCGGUUUCUAUUCUGAAAACUUGGCACUACCUAAGAAAAUCCAAACCUGUAAGUGGAAGCUUUGCAGGAGGAUUUUUAAUGUUAUAGGAAAGUGCUCAGGGUUUCACCCACAGAGACUUUCUGACACCGGAGGCAGCAGAAAGCAAGAUGUACCGUGGGUGGUGGUUAACUGGCCCCUCCCAACCCUUGGACUCAUUCUCUGCUCAGUGCCCCCGUUUCUCUCACCUUAUUCCGUGCCCCAGGACCCAGGCUUCUCUGCCUCUCUCAGGACAUUCUUAAUGUAAGCAGUUUAUCUACGCCAUGCUGUUGCAGGCUGAAGGUGAUAUCCCUUUCAGAAGGACCGCCAAAUUAAACAGGUUGCUUGGGGAAGGCAGCUUGGUGAGGUCCAAGGGCUUUGCCUCAGACAGACCUCCGUUUGAGUCCUCAUUUCUACAUGUGGUAGUCAUUCUCCAUGACAGCCCACAGUGAUCCCCGCCACCUGGUAUUCACAACCUUGCUGGUUCCCUCCAUAUCAAAUCAGGGCUGGUCCUGGGUGACCAAUAGAAUUUGGUAGAAGUGACAGCUUAUGAAUUCCGAGGCUAGGUCACAAAAGGCAGUACAGCUCUUGCCUUGAUCUCUUGGAUCACUCUUUCUGGGGAAGCUGGCCAGCACUCUGUGAGGACACUCAAGCCUCUCUGUAGAAAGAUCCACAUGAGGAAUACCUGAGGCCUCCUGCCAAAAACCAGCACCAACUUGCCAGCCUUGUAAGUGAACCCCCUUGGAAGUGGGGCCACCAGCCCCAGCUGACAAUUGACUACAACAUCAUGAGAGACUUUGAACCACCCAAGUGAGCUGCCUCUGAAUUCCUGACUCACCAAAAUCAUGAGAGAUAAUAAAUGAGGGCUGUUGUUUUCAAUCCUAAAUUUGGGGGCAAUCAGUUACAUAGCCAUAUUAACAAGUAUUUAACCUUUCUAAGUGUUGAGGGCAUUCAGAGCUGAUAUUCCUUUGGGAGACACCUGCAUAGUUAUAUCAAUUGUUAAAAUAUUUAAUUCUUUCUACACGGCUUUGUAAAGAGCCCUGUACUUGAAAUAAUGUCAUCUUGGAUUGCUGCUUCCCCAAGGUCCUUUGCAAAGGCAAAUCAAAUCCACUUGAGAGGAAGGUAACAUUAUCCUUGGCUUCAAAUUAUUUCAACAAGUAUUUUACAAAUACCAUGUCUAACACACAGCCGGAGAUGAACUGACACAUGGUCAAAAGCAGAAUUUUUUAGACACCCAGAAGACAUCCUUCACCCAAGGCUCAUGUGAUAGAAAAAUUAAGUAUAUAACGGCAAUGGAUUCCAUGUGCGGUGGGGAGGGAGAAACCAAAAGUUGGGAGAGGUACAAAUGGGCCUAAUGAAAGAGGAAAGAGGUUUUCAUUGCUUCCCAAGAUGAAGAUCCAGCUCUGAGAACUGCAGAGAGCAAACGCCUCUCAUUGAUGUUCUCUGAAGGGUUGCUGGACCUCAACUGGGGUAGACAGGGGCCCCUAGAGCUCAGAUCCUCAUUUCUCUCAAAAAUCCCAUCCCAAGCUUGGCUGGAGAAUGGGAAAGUUGCUUCUUCAAGAUGGCCCAAACCAUGGACCCACGAAAAGGACCCAAGUGUGUAGAAGAUCAGGACAUCUUUACCUGAAUGUUCUAGACUCCAUGAGACCCAGAGACUCCUAGAAAAUGUGACUGACAGAAAAUGCUCCUCCAUCCAGGAAGGUGAAGACUUGGAAGAGCUAUAUCAGAUUUAGGGGAAAGAAUAAUGGCAAUUUUUUGCAUCAAAUAAUGUAAAAUAAAAUUAAAACCCACUAUAAGAUAUUAAGCAAGAUCUGCAACAUGUCCCUCGUUAUACAGAUGAGAAAAUUAAGAACCAGGAGAUUAGAAAGUGAUUCCUUGCCUGCUGACCCUACAUUCCUCUGUCCUGGUGGAUGUUGCCAGAUGUUCUUUCCGCCUUACUCUCAGGACAUCAGUCCCCUGAAUUUUACAGGCCCGCUGGCACUUCUUUCUCAACAAGCUAAUAUUGGCAACCCGAACUGAAAGCCUCAGUUUGCAUCUAGUAUUCUCUUACUUUUCUUUCUCAACCCGAAUUCCAUUGUCCACAGCUUUUUCCAGUGCUUUGCAUUCCCUUCUCUGCACCUCCGUGGCAACCUCUGUCAUGAUGUGAAAAGAGCCAGCUUUCAAUCCCAACUGGACCACCAACCAGCUGUGAAAACCUGUGCACUUCAACUGCUAUGAACCUCAGUCUCAUUCUCUCUCCCUGCAUCAUGGAGUUGCUGUGAGGAAGAGUGAUAACGAACAUGGAGGACCAGCUUAGUAUCCAGCACAAAGUUCCUUGUCUAAUCAUGAGAAAAAUGUCAGAUAAACUCCUGUCAAGAGGCAUCCUACAGUACAUCUGAUCAAUACUGUUGAAAACUGUCAGGGUCAUCAAAAACAAGGAAAGUCUGAGACUGUCGCAGCCGAGAGGAGCCCAAGGAGACAUGAUGACUAAAUGCAAUGUGGUAUCCUGGAUGGGAUCCUAGAACAGAAAAAGGACAUUAGGUAAAAACUAAGGAAAUCUGAAGAAAGCAUGGACUUCAGCUAACAUUAAUGUAUCAAUAUUGGUUCAUUAACUGUAACAAACAUGCCACAGUAGGGUAAGAUGUUAGCCAUACAGGAAAAUGGGUACCGGGUAUAUGGGAACCCUCUGUACUAGCUUCUCCAUUUUUCUGUAAGUCUAAAACUUUUCUGAAAAAUAAAGCCUAUUUAAAAAAAAAUCAAAGUGAUAUGGGCUAUAGGCCAGAUGUCAAUCCAAUCCUAUGAAAGUACACAGGAAGAAUAUCAUUGACACUGAUUUGCCUUCUUAAUAGCAAG
Long non-coding RNA from Equus caballus (horse), 7747 nucleotides. NCBI's taxonomy places the organism in Eukaryota, Metazoa, Chordata, Mammalia, Perissodactyla, Equidae. The record is from Ensembl.